This 511-nucleotide ribosomal RNA is filed under the name Lygodactylus verticillatus. Its description in RNAcentral is "partial 16S ribosomal RNA". It matches the Rfam family "Bacterial large subunit ribosomal RNA", at positions 1852 to 2597 of the family's 2925-position model. The record is from RNAcentral. Lineage: Eukaryota; Metazoa; Chordata; Lepidosauria; Squamata; Gekkonidae.
GUCCCACCUGCCCAGUGAAAACUUUUAAACGGCCGCGGUAUUCUAACCGUGCAAAGGUAGCGCAAUCACUUGCCCCUUAAUUAGGGGCUAGUAUGAACGGUUACAUGAGGGCUCAACUGUCUCCUAAGACUGAUCAAUGAACUUGAUAACUCAGUACAAAAGCUGAAAUAAAAACACAAGACGAGAAGACCCUGUGGAACUUAAAGUCCUCGCAAGCAGCCCAUGGCCCUACAGCCACCUCACCUUGCAGACACUUUCAGUUGGGGCAACUACGGAGUAAAACAAAACCUCCACGACCGCAGCUGACACCUGCUGCCCAAGGCCUACACGCCUACUGCCUAAUAGUAGACCCAGCAAAGCUGAUCUACGAACCAAGCUACCCCAGGGAUAACAGCGCUAUCCCCUUCAAGAGUCCAUAUCAUCAAGGGGGUUUACGACCUCGAUGUUGGAUCAGGACCCCCCGGCGGUGCAGCCGCUGCCAAAGGUUCGUUUGUUCAACGAAUAAUGUCCU